AUGCGAUAAGUAAUGUGAAUUGCAGAAUUCAGUGAAUCAUCGAAUCUUUGAACGCACAUUGCGCCCCUUGGUAUUCCGGGGGGCAUGCCUGUUCGAGCGUCAUUUCAACCCUCAAGCUUAGCUUGGUAUUGAGUCUAUGUCAGUAAUGGCAGGCUCUAAAAUCAGUGGCGGCGCCGCUGGGUCCUGAACGUAGUAAUAUCUCUCGUUACAGGUUCUCGGUGUGCUUCUGCCAAAACCCAAAUUUUUCUAUGGUUGACCUCGGAUCAGGUAGGGAUACCCGCUGAACUUAA
This 290-nucleotide unclassified non-coding RNA is filed under the name uncultured Botrytis. RNAcentral describes it as "partial contains 5.8S ribosomal RNA, internal transcribed spacer 2, and large subunit ribosomal RNA". The stretch from base 1 to 102 matches the Rfam family "5.8S ribosomal RNA", at positions 53 to 154 of the family's 154-position model. Lineage: Eukaryota; Fungi; Ascomycota; Leotiomycetes; Helotiales; Sclerotiniaceae. The record is from RNAcentral.